ACUCAAAGGAAUAGACGGGGGCCCGCACAAGCGGCGGAGCAUGUGGCUUAAUUCGACGCGACGCGAAGAACCUUACCAGGGCUUGACAUGCGGGGUGAAGCCGUGGAAACACGGUCCUCCUACGGGAGCCCGCACAGGUGCUGCAUGGCUGUCGUCAGCUCGUGCCGUGAGGUGUUGCCUUAAGUGGCGCAACGAGCGCAACCCCUGUCCAUAGUUGCCAGCGGGUAAUGCCGGGGACUCUAUGGAUACUGCCGGUGCCAAACCGGAGGAAGGUGGGGAUGAGGUCAAGUCAUCAUGGCCCUUAUGUCCUGGGCUGCACACAUGCUACAAUGCGCGGUACAGCGGGCUGCGAUCCCGCAAGGGUGAGCGAAUCCCAAAAAACCGCGCUCAGUUCGGAUCGGGGUCUGCAACUCGACCCCGUGAAGUUGGAGUCGCUAGUAAUCGCGGAUCAGCAACGCCGCGGUGAAUACGUUCCCGGGCCUUGUACACACCGCCCGU
This 498-nucleotide ribosomal RNA is filed under the name uncultured bacterium. RNAcentral describes it as "partial 16S ribosomal RNA". It matches the Rfam family "Bacterial small subunit ribosomal RNA", at positions 899 to 1397 of the family's 1533-position model. The record is from RNAcentral.